UCCUAGUACGGCGAGUGAAGCGGGAAGAGCUCAAAUUUGAAAUCUGGUAGCCUUCGGCUGCCCGAGUUGUAAUCUAGAGAAGUGUUUUCCGUGCCGGCCCAUGUACAAGUCCCUUGGAACAGGGCGUCAUAGAGGGUGAGAAUCCCGUCCUUGACAUGGACCCCCGGUGCUUUGUGAUACACUUUCAACGAGUCGAGUUGUUUGGGAAUGCAGCUCAAAAUGGGUGGUGAAUUCCAUCUAAAGCUAAAUAUUGGCGAGAGACCGAUAGCGAACAAGUACCGUGAGGGAAAGAUGAAAAGCACUUUGGAAAGAGAGUUAAACAGUACGUGAAAUUGUUGAAAGGGAAACGAUUGAAGUCAGUCAUGCUCUUUGGAUUCAGCCGUUCUGCGGUGUAUUUCCAUUGAGUGGGGUCAACAUCAGUUUUGACCGCUGGAUAAAGGCACUAGGAAGGUAGCACUCUCGGGUGAACUUAUAGCCUAGCGUCAUAUACAGUGGUUGGGACUGAGGAACGCAGCAUGCCUUUAUGGCCGGGAUUCGUCCACGUACAUGCUUAGGAUGUUGACAUAAUGGCUUUAAACGACCCG
RNAcentral lists this ribosomal RNA (584 nucleotides) under Naganishia uzbekistanensis. RNAcentral describes it as "eukaryotic LSU rRNA". It matches the Rfam family "Eukaryotic large subunit ribosomal RNA", at positions 78 to 651 of the family's 3401-position model. Lineage: Eukaryota; Fungi; Basidiomycota; Tremellomycetes; Filobasidiales; Filobasidiaceae. The record is from RNAcentral.